GCAGUGGUGGUUCAGUGGUAGAAUUCUUCCCUUUCAUGCAGGAGACCUGGGUUUGAUACCCAGCCAGUGAA
Molecule: transfer RNA, 71 nt
Filed under: Loxodonta africana (African savanna elephant)
Lineage: Eukaryota; Metazoa; Chordata; Mammalia; Proboscidea; Elephantidae
Rfam family: tRNA
About the family: Transfer RNA (tRNA) molecules are approximately 80 nucleotides in length.
Source: Rfam by way of RNAcentral